Molecule: ribosomal RNA, 697 nt
Filed under: uncultured Bacteroidota bacterium
Lineage: Bacteria; Pseudomonadati; Bacteroidota
Description: bacterial SSU rRNA
Rfam family: Bacterial small subunit ribosomal RNA
Source: RNAcentral
UCGAGGGGUAUUGUUCUUCGGAAUGAGAGACCGGCGCACGGGUGCGUAACGCGUAUGCAAUCUACCUUUUGCAGAGGGAUAGCCCAGAGAAAUUUGGAUUAAUACCUCAUAGUAUGUGAGAAUGGCAUCAUUUUCACAUUAAAGUCACAACGGCAAAAGAUGAGCAUGCGUCCCAUUAGCUAGUUGGUAAGGUAACGGCUUACCAAGGCUACGAUGGGUAGGGGUCCUGAGAGGGAGAUCCCCCACACUGGUACUGAGACACGGACCAGACUCCUACGGGAGGCAGCAGUGAGGAAUAUUGGACAAUGGGCGCAAGCCUGAUCCAGCCAUGCCGCGUGCAGGAUGACGGUCCUAUGGAUUGUAAACUGCUUUUGCACAGGAAGAAACAACUCUACGUGUAGAGUCUUGACGGUACUGUGAGAAUAAGGAUCGGCUAACUCCGUGCCAGCAGCCGCGGUAAUACGGAGGAUCCAAGCGUUAUCCGGAAUCAUUGGGUUUAAAGGGUCCGUAGGCGGUUUAGUAAGUCAGUGGUGAAAGCCCAUCGCUCAACGGUGGAACGGCCAUUGAUACUGCUAGACUUGAAUUAUUAGGAAGUAACUAGAAUAUGUAGUGUAGCGGUGAAAUGCUUAGAGAUUACAUGGAAUACCAAUUGCGAAGGCAGGUUACUACUAAUGGAUUGACGCUGAUGGACGAAAGC